This is a non-coding RNA of Sesamum indicum (sesame), 371 nucleotides long. Lineage: Eukaryota; Viridiplantae; Streptophyta; Magnoliopsida; Lamiales; Pedaliaceae. The record is from RefSeq and is a predicted model, not a curated record.
AACAGAAAAAAAGCAAUAUAUUCAAAAAAGAAAAGAAGCAAAAGCAACAGAUAAAAAAAGCAAUAUCCAAAAGAGAAAAGAAAAAGAAAAACAAAAGCAACAUCCACUCGCCAACUUGGAGUUGUUGCUCUUGAUGCACAUACAAUUGAGUGCUUGGAAAAUAAUUUUUGGUGCUGGCAAGAUGAAGACACAACCGCUACUGCAUGCAAGGCAUGUGUAGACAAAGCCUGUACAAUGGAUUCUGUGGGUCAAAUCUUGAGUCGACAAGGUAGAGAUGGAUGCUAUACAAAAGAGAAAAAGAAGGCAUAUGAAACAAUGAAACCAAAGAGAGUAUCAAAGGAGGAGAUACUUCGUCUAAUGGAAGAAAAGAA